This 497-nucleotide ribosomal RNA is filed under the name uncultured bacterium. RNAcentral describes it as "partial 16S ribosomal RNA". It matches the Rfam family "Bacterial small subunit ribosomal RNA", at positions 28 to 507 of the family's 1533-position model. The record is from RNAcentral.
GACGAACGCUGGCGGCGUGCCUAAUACAUGCAAGUUGAGCGAUGAAGAUUGGUGCUUGCACCAAUUUGAAGAGCAGCGAACGGGUGAGUAACGCGUGGGGAAUCUGCCUUUGAGCGGGGGACAACAUUUGGAAACGAAUGCUAAUACCGCAUAACAACUUUAAACAUAAGUUUUAAGUUUGAAAGAUGCAAUUGCAUCACUCAAAGAUGAUCCCGCGUUGUAUUAGCUAGUUGGUGAGGUAAAGGCUCACCAAGGCGAUGAUACAUAGCCGACCUGAGAGGGUGAUCGGCCACAUUGGGACUGAGACACGGCCCAAACUCCUACGGGAGGCAGCAGUAGGGAAUCUUCGGCAAUGGACGAAAGUCUGACCGAGCAACGCCGCGUGAGUGAAGAAGGUUUUCGGAUCGUAAAACUCUGUUGGUAGAGAAGAACGUUGGUGAGAGUGGAAAGCUCAUCAAGUGACGGUAACUACCCAGAAAGGGGCGGCUAACUACGUG